UUUUGUUUUUAAUUUUGUCCC
Molecule: non-coding RNA, 21 nt
Filed under: Caenorhabditis elegans
Lineage: Eukaryota; Metazoa; Nematoda; Chromadorea; Rhabditida; Rhabditidae
Source: RNAcentral